GACGUAGGAGGCGAGCGUUGUCCGGAUUCAUUGGGCGUAAAGAGCGCGCAGGCGGCUUGGUAAGUCGGAUGUGAAAUCCCGAGGCUCAACCUCGGGUCUGCAUCCGAUACUGCCCGGCUAGAGGUAGGUAGGGGAGAUCGGAAUUCCUGGUGUAGCGGUGAAAUGCGUAGAUAUCGGGAGGAACACCAGUGGCGAAGGCGACUUCCUGGCCUGUUCUUGACGCUGAGGCGCGAAAGCUAGGGUAGCAAACGGG
Molecule: ribosomal RNA, 253 nt
Filed under: uncultured bacterium
Lineage: Bacteria
Description: partial 16S ribosomal RNA
Rfam family: Bacterial small subunit ribosomal RNA
Source: RNAcentral